RNAcentral lists this transfer RNA (68 nucleotides) under Scolytinae sp. BMNH 1040052. RNAcentral describes it as "tRNA-Thr". It matches the Rfam family "tRNA". From Rfam's summary of the family: Transfer RNA (tRNA) molecules are approximately 80 nucleotides in length. Their secondary structure includes four short double-helical elements and three loops (D, anti-codon, and T loops). Lineage: Eukaryota; Metazoa; Arthropoda; Insecta; Coleoptera; Curculionidae. The record is from RNAcentral.
GUUUUAAUAAUUUAAAUAAAAAUAUUGGUCUUGUAAACCAAAAUUAAGAAACCAAUACUUUUAAAACA